Molecule: ribosomal RNA, 497 nt
Filed under: uncultured bacterium
Lineage: Bacteria
Description: partial 16S ribosomal RNA
Rfam family: Bacterial small subunit ribosomal RNA
Source: RNAcentral
GAUGAACGCUGGCGGCGUGCCUAAUACAUGCAAGUCGAGCGAACAGACGAGGAGCUUGCUCCUCUGACGUUAGCGGCGGACGGGUGAGUAACACGUGGAUAACCUACCUAUAAGACUGGGAUAACUUCGGGAAACCGGAGCUAAUACCGGAUAAUAUAUUGAACCGCAUGGUUCAAUAGUGAAAGACGGUUUUGCUGUCACUUAUAGAUGGAUCCGCGCCGCAUUAGCUAGUUGGUAAGGUAACGGCUUACCAAGGCGACGAUGCGUAGCCGACCUGAGAGGGUGAUCGGCCACACUGGAACUGGGACACGGUCCAGACUCCUACGGGGGGCAGCAGUAGGGAAUCUUCCGCAAUGGGCGAAAGCCUGACGGAGCAACGCCGCGUGAGUGAUGAAGGUCUUCGGAUCGUAAAACUCUGUUAUUAGGGAAGAACAAAUGUGUAAGUAACUAUGCACGUCUUGACGGUACCUAAUCAGAAAGCCACGGCUAACUACGUG